This 848-nucleotide ribosomal RNA is filed under the name Usnea subrubicunda. RNAcentral's name for it is "eukaryotic LSU rRNA". It matches the Rfam family "Eukaryotic large subunit ribosomal RNA", at positions 22 to 885 of the family's 3401-position model. Lineage: Eukaryota; Fungi; Ascomycota; Lecanoromycetes; Lecanorales; Parmeliaceae. The record is from RNAcentral.
UACCCGCUGGAACUUAAGCAUAUCCAAUAAGCGGAGGAAAAGAAACCAACAGGGAUUGCCUCAGUAACGGCGAGUGAAGCGGCAACAGCUCAAAUUUGAAAUCUGGCCCCGACGGGGUCCGAGUUGUAAUUUGUAGAGAGUGUUUCGGGUGAGACCACGGUCUAAGUCCAUUGGAACAUGGCGUCAUAGAGGGUGAGAAUCCCGUAUGUGACUGUGGCUCGAGCCCAUGUGAAGCCUCUUCGACGAGUCGAGUUGUUUGGGAAUGCAGCUCAAAAUGGGUGGUAAAUUUCAUCUAAAGCUAAAUACUGGCUGGAGACCGAUAGCGCACAAGUAGAGUGAUCGAAAGAUGAAAAGCACUUUGGAAAGAGAGUCAAAAAGUACGUGAAAUUGUUGAAAGGGAAGCGCUUGCAACCAGACCUGUCCGUAGGUGAUCAGCCGCUGUUCUCAGCGGUGCACUCGCUCUGCGAUCAGGCCAGCAUCGGUUCCGGCGGUCGGACAAAGGCCCUGGGAAUGUAGCUUCCUUCGGGGAGUCUUAUAGCCCUCGGUGCAAUGCGGCCAGCCGGGACCGAGGACCGCGCUUCGGCUAGGAUGCUGGCGUAAUGGUUGUAAGCGACCCGUCUUGAAACACGGACCAAGGAGUCUAACAUCUAUGCGAGUGUUUGGGUGUUAAACCCAUGCGCGGAAUGAAAGUGAACGGAGGUGAGAACCCUUUAGGGCGCAUCAUCGACCGAUCCAGAUGUCUUCGGAUGGAUUUGAGUAUGAGCAUAGCUGUUGGGACCCGAAAGAUGGUGAACUAUGCCUGAAUAGGGUGAAGCCAGAGGAAACUCUGGUGGAGGCUCGCAGCGGUU